GUUGAACGCUGGCGGCAGGCCUAACACAUGCAAGUCGAACGGUAACAGGAAGCAGCUUGCUGCUUCGCUGACGAGUGGCGGACGGGUGAGUAAUGUCUGGGAAACUGCCUGAUGGAGGGGGAUAACUACUGGAAACGGUAGCUAAUACCGCAUAACGUCGCAAGACCAAAGAGGGGGACCUUCGGGCCUCUUGCCAUCGGAUGUGCCCAGAUGGGAUUAGCUAGUAGGUGGGGUAACGGCUCACCUAGGCGACGAUCCCUAGCUGGUCUGAGAGGAUGACCAGCCACACUGGAACUGAGACACGGUCCAGACUCCUACGGGAGGCAGCAGUGGGGAAUAUUGCACAAUGGGCGCAAGCCUGAUGCAGCCAUGCCGCGUGUAUGAAGAAGGCCUUCGGGUUGUAUAGUACUUUCAGCGGGGAGGAAGGCGAUAAGGUUAAUAACCUUGUCGAUUGACGUUACCCGCAGAAGAAGCACCGGCUAACUCCGUGCCAGCCGCCGCAGUAA
Molecule: ribosomal RNA, 506 nt
Filed under: uncultured bacterium
Lineage: Bacteria
Description: partial 16S ribosomal RNA
Rfam family: Bacterial small subunit ribosomal RNA
Source: RNAcentral